AUGGCUCUUCCACUUCAUUGUCAUCUCACAUCUAUGUUUUUUCUGCUGCCUUUCCUCUCCAUGGUGUUUGUAGAUGCAAACUUCAUCGUUUCAGAAGCGGCAUAUUACCCUAGUUCUGAUACAAAAGGGAUCAAAAAUGGAGCAUAUACAAAUGCCAAUAUCCAACAUGUGAGGUGCACGGAUCCUUACUGCUCUGCAAAUGGUGUGACAAUCGUAAUCACUCACUCGGUGUGGAGUGACGGCUCUAAUUUCAUCCUCAGCCUAUGGCUUAGAGUGCGGAUGGUGGUGAAGCGCUGCUUGCCCUUGGUCGUGUUGAACUGA
Molecule: ribosomal RNA, 321 nt
Filed under: Triticum aestivum (bread wheat)
Lineage: Eukaryota; Viridiplantae; Streptophyta; Magnoliopsida; Poales; Poaceae
Description: partial small subunit ribosomal RNA
Source: RNAcentral